Molecule: ribosomal RNA, 469 nt
Filed under: uncultured bacterium
Lineage: Bacteria
Description: partial 16S ribosomal RNA
Rfam family: Bacterial small subunit ribosomal RNA
Source: RNAcentral
GACGAACGCUGGCGGCGUGCUUAACACAUGCAAGUCGAACGGAAAGGCCCUGCUUGCAGGGUGCUCGAGUGGCGAACGGGUGAGUAACACGUGGGUGAUCUGCCCCUUACUUUGGGAUAAGCCUGGGAAACUGGGUCUAAUACUGGAUAGGACCAUGCUGUAGGUGGUGUGGUGGAAAGAUUAGUUUCGGUAAGGGAUGAGCUCGCGGCCUAUCAGCUUGUUGGUGGGUUAAUGGCCUACCAAGGCGUCGACGGGUAGCCGGCCUGAGAGGGUGGACGGCCACAUUGGGACUGAGAUACGGCCCAGACUCCUACGGGAGGCAGCAGUGGGGAAUAUUGCACAAUGGGCGCAAGCCUGAUGCAGCGACGCCGCGGGGGGGAUGACGGCCUUCGGGUUGUAAACUCCUUUCAGCCAUGACGAAGCCCUUGUGGUGACGGUAGUGGUAGAAGAAGCACCGGCUAACUACGUG